AUUGAACGCUGGUGGCAUGCUUAACACAUGCAAGUCGGACGGUAACAGGCGAGUGCUUGCACUUGCGCUGACGAGUGGCGGACGGGUGAGUAAUGCAUAGGAAUCUUUCCUUUCGAGGGGGAUAGCUCUGGGAAACUAGAGGUAAUACCGCGUACAACCUACGGGUUAAAGGUGGCGCAAGCUGCCGCGAAAGGGUGAGCCUAUGUUAGAUUAGCUAGAUGGUGAGGUAAAAGCUCACCAUGGCUACGAUCUAUAGCUGUUCUGAGAGGAAGAUCAGCCACAUUGGGACUGAGACACGGCCCAG
Molecule: ribosomal RNA, 304 nt
Filed under: uncultured bacterium
Lineage: Bacteria
Description: bacterial SSU rRNA
Rfam family: Bacterial small subunit ribosomal RNA
Source: RNAcentral